CAAUAGCGUAUAUUAAAGUUGUUGCAGUUAAAAAGCUCGUAGUUGGAUUUGUGGCUGUCACGGGCGGCCUAUCACUUAGUGUUAGUGCUUGCCUGUGUCGCCAUCCUUGGGUGGAGCCCGUGUGGCAUUAGGUUGUCGUGCGGGGGAUGCCCAUCGUUUACUGUGAGAAAAUUAGAGUGUUCAAAGCAGGCUUAUGCCAUUGAAUAUGUUAGCAUGGAAUAAUAAGAUAGGACCUCGGUACUAUUUUGUUGGUUUGCGCACCGAGGUAAUGAUUGAUAGGGACAGUUGGGGGUAUUCGUAUUUCAUUGUCAGAGGUGAAAUUCUUGGAUUUCUGAAAGACGAACUACUGCGAAAGCAUUUACCAAGGAUGUUUUCAUUAA
Molecule: ribosomal RNA, 380 nt
Filed under: uncultured eukaryote
Lineage: Eukaryota
Description: partial 18S ribosomal RNA
Rfam family: Eukaryotic small subunit ribosomal RNA
Source: RNAcentral